Molecule: long non-coding RNA, 218 nt
Filed under: Pan troglodytes (chimpanzee)
Lineage: Eukaryota; Metazoa; Chordata; Mammalia; Primates; Hominidae
Description: long non-coding RNA NONPTRT011370
Source: RNAcentral
CCAGAAGUCCCUAGGGUUGAUGAUACCCUAUAAAUAUUGCAAAUUUCAUUUUAAUACAUUACGUGGCUGUGAGCGACCACUGUGCAAGUUUGCUCAUGUGCCUGAACAAGGGGAUGAAAAGGUUUGCAUGGAUGUGUUUAAGAAAUAUAUAAAUAUCAAUGAACUGUGUUUGCUACAGCGUGCAGUAAACAUAUUUAUGGAGUACUACAGAAAGUUCC